GGGUGUAGUUCAGUGGUAGAACACAUGCUUAGCAUGUUUGCGACCCUGGAUUCGAUCCCCAGCACUAACA
RNAcentral lists this transfer RNA (70 nucleotides) under Marmota monax (woodchuck). It matches the Rfam family "tRNA". Rfam says of the family: Transfer RNA (tRNA) molecules are approximately 80 nucleotides in length. Their secondary structure includes four short double-helical elements and three loops (D, anti-codon, and T loops). The record is from Rfam by way of RNAcentral. Lineage: Eukaryota; Metazoa; Chordata; Mammalia; Rodentia; Sciuridae.